RNAcentral lists this ribosomal RNA (460 nucleotides) under uncultured bacterium. RNAcentral describes it as "partial 16S ribosomal RNA". It matches the Rfam family "Bacterial small subunit ribosomal RNA", at positions 338 to 795 of the family's 1533-position model. The record is from RNAcentral.
CCUACGGGAGGCAGCAGUGAGGAAUAUUGGUCAAUGGGCGGAAGCCUGAACCAGCCAAGUAGCGUGCAGGAUGACGGCCCUACAGGUUGUAAACUGCUUUUAUACGGGAAUAACGCGCCUUACGUGUAGGGCUUUGCAUGUACCGUAUGAAUAAGGACCGGCUAAUUCCGUGCCAGCAGCAGCGGGAAUACGGAAGGUCCGGGCGUUAUCCGGGUGUAUUGGGUUUAAAGGGAGCGUAGGCCGCAUGUCAAGCGUACUGUGAAAUGUCCGGGCUCAACCCGGGCCUUGCAGCGAGAACUGGCGUGCUUGAGUCCGCGGCAAGCAGGCGGAAUUCGUCGUGUAGCGGUGAAAUGCUUAGAUAUGACGAAGAACCCCGAUUGCGAAGGCAGCUUGCUGCAGCGGAACUGACGCUGAUGCUCGAAAGCGCGGGUAUCGAACAGGAUUAGAUACCCCAGUAGUC